CGGACGGGUGAGUAACGCGUGAGAAUCUGCCUUCAGGAUGGGGACAACAAUUGGAAACGAUUGCUAAUACCCGAUAUGACGAAAGUUGAAAGAUUUAUCGCCUGGAGAUGAGCUCGCGUCAGAUUAGCUAGAUGGUGUGGUAAAGGCGCACCAUGGCGACGAUCUGUAGCUGGUCUGAGAGGAUGAGCAGCCACACUGGGACUGAGACACGGCCCAGACUCCUACGGGAGGCAGCAGUGGGGAAUUUUCCGCAAUGGGCGCAAGCCUGACGGAGCAAUACCGCGUGAGGGAGGAAGGCUCUUGGGUCGUAAACCUCUUUUCUCAGGGAAGAACACAAUGACGGUACCUGAGGAAUCAGCAUCGGCUAACUCCGUGCCAGCAGCCCCGGUAAUACGGAGGAUGCAAGCGUUAUCCGGAAUGAUUGGGCGUAAAGCGUCCGUAGGUGGUUUUGUAAGUCUGUGGUUAAAGCGUGUAGCUCAACUACAUAACGGCCAUGGAAACUACAAGACUUGAGUGAAGUAGGGGUAGAGGGAAUUCCCAGUGUAGCGGUGAAAUGCGUAGAGAUUGGGAAGAACACCGGUGGCGAAAGCGCUCUACUGGACUUAUACUGACACUGAGGGACGAAAGCUAGGGGAGCGAAAGGGAUUAGAUACCCCUGUAGUC
Molecule: ribosomal RNA, 663 nt
Filed under: Synechocystis pevalekii SAG 91.79
Lineage: Bacteria; Bacillati; Cyanobacteriota; Cyanophyceae; Synechococcales; Merismopediaceae
Description: bacterial SSU rRNA
Rfam family: Bacterial small subunit ribosomal RNA
Source: RNAcentral